AAGAAGGAGGACAAGAUCAGGAUGGCUUCCCUUUUGCCCAGACUGCCAUUAGUUCAGCCUUAGCUGCAAAAUGAAGCCACAUUCUGACCCCAGUGGUGCUUGAGAACUAGGUACACUAGCCCUUUUUCUUCAAGGGAAAUACUGAAGUUUGUGGGAUAAACUCAGCUCUGCAGGGCCCAAUACAAUCCUGUCCUUCACAGAGUUGCACAUGAUAACCGACCGAACUGUUUUAGCCACAGUCUUGCAUUUCACAUUCUCUCCCUCUCCCCUUAAGGUAUUCAGCCUUCAUUCUACCCAGCUCUACUUUCAGAGAAGCAGCAGGGCAUUACUCUUUGGCCUAUGACUCCCUUGUGCCUCUCCCCAGUUUCUUUUUGUCCUCAAGUUUCUGAUCAAAAAAAUAACCCCACACUUAGGCCUCAAAGAUACACCCAGCUAUGACUUCUGCCUUUCCUAACCACAACGUACAGUCACUCUGCUCCUUGAAUUGAGUAACGCUCAGCAAAAUGGCAGCCAGUCCCUGACACAGAGCAAGCUUGGAUCCAAGCCUGUGAGCAGGGUAAGAUCUGUGCUAGUUAAUUCUUCCUUAGGACAAGACUUACAACAAAUGAUGCUUUUAUGUGCUAUCUUCAAGCUGCAGUCUAAGUCUGUUAGUGCCAUGAUUUGCCUGUGGUAUUGGUAGGUAGAAGCGCUGGUUACUGUGACUGUGCAGUGACAUCGCAUUAUAAACAGUAACACUUGCAGGUAAAGAAAGUGGAAAAAAACUGAACCUAAGAAGGAUUUUCUGUAUUGCAUCUGACCUCCCCCCUCGCUACUUGGCUUGAAUGCUUUUACUAUAAAUUAUUCUUCCCUGUACUAUUCAACACAAACAUACAUAUAUUGCAAGCCCAUGCUGGAGGGCACAAACAUUACCCACUACGCUUUUAAAGAAACAAUUCCACUCUGCAGGAAGAAAGAUCAGGCCAUGGUGCAUAGACAAGAAAACAAAACAAAAAGCCUGAAAAAACUGUUCCCCAGGGCUCAAAAAGAUUUCUGCCUUGAUGAGACAUUUUGCAAACAUGCUAAGGCUACAAAAUGUCCAAGUUGACAAAGACAUGCAACGCUGACCAUUCAAUAAGUCACAGCUAUUAUAGGAGCGACCGUGCCCACCCGGGCCACAGGUCCCGUAAAACAGGGAUGGUGUACAGUGAUCAUGGCAACGUACUACGCAGGACCUAGUAACCUGAGCAGCAAACAUAGCAUAGAAGCGCGAGUUCUCAUUGGCCAGAAGGGCAGACGGCGUGUCAAAUUCCACUACCUGAAAGCAGACAAGGCAGGCAUCCUACUCGUGUAUGGACAUGAACAGAAUCCACCAUUGGCAGAUUGCUGGAACACUGCUGUGCAGUUAACAACUUAUGCAAACACAGAGAAGACAGAGGAGAACCAAUAUGACUGCCU
This is a long non-coding RNA of Egretta garzetta (little egret), 1434 nucleotides long. RefSeq lists it as uncharacterized. The transcript has 4 exons. Lineage: Eukaryota; Metazoa; Chordata; Aves; Pelecaniformes; Ardeidae. The record is from RefSeq and is a predicted model, not a curated record.